UCGAACGAUGAACUCCAGCUUGCUGGGGGGAUUAGUGGCGAACGGGUGAGUAACACGUGAGUAACCUGCCCUUGACUCUGGGAUAAGCGCUGGAAACGGCGUCUAAUACCGGAUACGAGCUUCAGCCGCAUGGCUAGGAGUUGGAAAGAAUUUUGGUCAAGGAUGGACUCGCGGCCUAUCAGCUAGUUGGUGAGGUAAUGGCUCACCAAGGCGACGACGGGUAGCCGGCCUGAGAGGGUGACCGGCCACACUGGGACUGAGACACGGCCCAGACUCCUACGGGAGGCAGCAGUGGGGAAUAUUGCACAAUGGGCGCAAGCCUGAUGCAGCAACGCCGCGUGAGGGACGACGGCCUUCGGGUUGUAAACCUCUUUUAGUAGGGAAGAAGCGAAAGUGACGGUACCUGCAGAAAAAGCACCGGCUAACUACGUGCCAGCAGCCGCGGUAAUACGUAGGGUGCAAGCGUUGUCCGGAAUUAUUGGGCGUAAAGAGCUCGUAGGCGGUUUGUCGCGUCUGCUGUGAAAUCUGGGGGCUCAACCCCCAGCCUGCAGUGGGUACGGGCAGACUAGAGUGCGGUAGGGGAGAUUGGAAUUCCUGGUGUAGCGGUGGAAUGCGCAGAUAUCAGGAGGAACACCGAUGGCGAAGGCAGAUCUCUGGGCCGUAACUGACGCUGAGGAGCGAAAGCAUGGGGAGCGAACAGGAUUAGAUACCCUGGUAGUCCAUGCCGUAAACGUUGGGAACUAGAUGUGGGGACCAUUCCACGGUCUCCGUGUCGCAGCUAACGCAUUAAGUUCCCCGCCU
Molecule: ribosomal RNA, 801 nt
Filed under: Frigoribacterium sp. B179F
Lineage: Bacteria; Bacillati; Actinomycetota; Actinomycetes; Micrococcales; Microbacteriaceae
Description: bacterial SSU rRNA
Rfam family: Bacterial small subunit ribosomal RNA
Source: RNAcentral